Molecule: ribosomal RNA, 253 nt
Filed under: uncultured bacterium
Lineage: Bacteria
Description: partial 16S ribosomal RNA
Rfam family: Bacterial small subunit ribosomal RNA
Source: RNAcentral
UACGGGGGGGGCAAGCGUUGUUCGGAAUUACUGGGCGUAAAGGGUGCGUAGGCGGUCUAUUAAGUCAGUGCUGAAAUAUCCCGGCUUAACCGGGAGGGUGGCAUUGAUACUGAUGGACUUGAGUAGAGUCGAGGUAGGCGGAAUUGACGGUGUAGCGGUGAAAUGCUUAGAUAUCGUCAAGAACACCGAUAGUGUAGACAGCUUACUAGGCUCAAACUGACGCUGAGGCACGAAAGUGUGGGGAUCAAACAGG